GAGUUUGAUCAUGGCUAGGAUGAACGCUGGCGGCGUGCUUCAUACAUGCAAGUCGAGCGAGGGCCGCCCGGUGGCAACACCGGGUUGGUUCCUAGCGGCGAACGGGUGAGUAACACGUGGGCAACCUGCCCCCGACUCUGGGAUAAGCCCGGGAAACUGGGUCUAAUACCGGAUACGAGCUCCCACCGCAUGGUGGGAGCUGGAAAGGGUCUCCGGUCGGGGAUGGGCCCGCGGCCUAUCAGCUCGUUGGUGGGGUGAUGGCCCACCAAGGCGACGACGGGUAGCCGGCCUGAGAGGGUGGACGGCCACACUGGGACUGAGACACAGCCCAGACUCCUACGGGAGGCAGCAGUAGGGAAUCUUGUCCAAUGGGCGCAAGCCUGAGACAGCGACGCCGCGUGCGGGACGAAGGCCUUCGGGUUGUAAACCGCUUUCAGCAGGGACGAAGCGAAAGUGACGGUACCUGCAGAAGAAGGUCCGGCCAACUACGUGCCAGCAGCCGCGGUAAUACGUAGGGACCGAGCGUUGUCCGGAUUUAUUGGGCGUAAAGAGCUCGUAGGCGGCCGCGCAAGUCGAUUGUGAAAACUCGGGGCUCAACCCCGAGCCUGCGUUCGAUACUGCACGGCUAGAGUCUGGUAGGGGGAUCUGGAAUUCCUGGUGUAGCGGUGGAAUGCGCAGAUAUCAGGAGGAACACCGGUGGCGAAAGCGGGAUCCUGGGCCAGUACUGACGCU
RNAcentral lists this ribosomal RNA (732 nucleotides) under uncultured bacterium. Its description in RNAcentral is "bacterial SSU rRNA". It matches the Rfam family "Bacterial small subunit ribosomal RNA", at positions 9 to 747 of the family's 1533-position model. The record is from RNAcentral.